UUUUUUUUUUUUGUGACGAGCUCAUCAAACGUCCAAACACUUUGAAAUUUUGCACGCACCUAGAAGAUUCUCUGAACUUUCAUGUGUAAAAAUUUCAGAUAUUUUUGAAUUUAUUGCUAUUUUUUUGAAUUUAUUGUUCAUCGGGAGUAGAUGAGCCUGGGCACCGUUUUGAAUUAUCGGUAUAAUAUGAACUUCUUCUGAAAAAACGUCCAUGUGUCUAGCUUCAUACAUUGCUCGCACCUAUAGAGAAGUUAAAUUCUAUUGAGCUACCAACAUAUGGUGCUUAGCACUUUUCUUGGUAACGAGCUUGAGGCGGCCUGUGAAACCUUCGUUUUUCCCCUAAGAGCAUCUCCAAUAGAAAAUUUAGAUGUAAAAACAGCUAACUUUUAAAUCCCCGAGGCCUAAAAACUCAUCUCCAACAGAUCAUAUAGAUGUAAAACAAUUUACAUCACCUCCUCUAAGUGAUGUAAAAUACAAAACUUGAAGAUGAAAAUUUGCAUCACCAACCGCCUGGUGAUGUAUAUAGCCCACCUCGUCGCCGCUGGUCCUGUUGCAUUUUGCCUCNNNNNNNNNNNNNNNNNNNNNNNNNNNNNNNNNNNNNNNNNNNNNNNNNNNNNNNNNNNNNNNNNNNNNNNNNNNNNNNNNNNNNNNNNNNNNNNNNNNNNNNNNNNNNNNNNNNNNNNNNNNNNNNNNNNNNNNNNNNNNNNNNNNNNNNNNNNNNNNNNNNNNNNNNNNNNNNNNNNNNNNNNNNNNNNNNNNNNNNNNNNNNNNNNNNNNNNNNNNNNNNNNNNNNNNNNNNNNNNNNNNNNNNNNNNNNNNNNNNNNNNNNNNNNNNNNNNNNNNNNNNNNCCCCAUAGCAACAUGCCGAGCGCUGCCGCCCCACCCCGCCUCAGUUGAAGCUCCCCCGCCGCCCGAUCCGAGUUUCACCUGCGUGUUUCGAGCUCUGCCGCCGCCCCGCCCCGCUCCUUGUCUCGAUUUGAAGCUCGGCCGCCUGAUUCAAGCUCCGCCGUCGGCGCCCGUCUCAGCUCGACGCUCAGCCGCCGCCAUGCUGCCGAAGAAAGUGUCGAAGAGCAAGACCGGCUUCUUAGGGGUGCGGAAGAAGCCGUCUGAGAACUUCGGUGUGGAGUUCCAGUGCGAUGGCUAUCGCUACUGGAUCGGCACGUUUGACUUCGUCAACAUGCCCGCGCGUGCGUACGAAAUCGCCAUGUGGCGUUUCUGACGGCCGAGGCGCGAGAUGAACUUUCCGGAGAUCGAGACUCAGGUAGACACGGAGCUAAUUGGGCCGGAGAAUCACAAUAUUUGGCGGAUGGACGAGAAUGAGGAGAAGAAGAACAAGAAGAAGCCAGUGAUUAUCGUUGCUCCCGGCAAUAGUGACGAGGCGGCAAAGGCGAGAUUCACGCGGGAGCAUCCGGAGUAUGUCCAGACCGAGCACGAGUUCUCUAGGAAGCGUGAGGCCGAGCAGCAAAAGAAGGCGGUGAGGAAGGAUGUGGAGGAGGCCGGCGCCUCGGCGGUGAUCCCCGUCUAGUCCGACUCGUCGGACUGGGAUGACUCGGAGGAGGACGAGUGCGACAACCCCAAGAAGAAGGUGUUCUGGGAGCAGUUCAAGAGCGACGGCGAGUAGGCUCGGAGUAGUAGUAGUUUGAUGCAUGUAGUAAUUUGAAGUAUGUUUAAUUAUGUUUAAUAACUAUGUUUGCUUCAAAUGAACUUGCUAUAUUUAAAGUUAUGUUUGGAAUAAUAUAGUAGUUGUACUAGUUUUACAUCUUCAAAUACAUCAUUUGGUGGAGUAGUAGUUUUACAUCACCAAAUAUACACAUCUCUUGAAGUUAGGACUUUUUAAAGAUGUAUAAAAAGAACUUUUUGUUGAUGUAAAUUAUACAUCACUUGCUUUUACAUCUUCUAAUGAAGAUGCUCUAAUGCUCCAAAUGCCCCUUCCGAAACAUACUCGCUUCGUCUCAAGUGUCAAAAAAAUGUCUUACACUUUGAGGCAAAGGGAGUAUUUGAAUGUGCAGUAGGACAAGAAGAUUGCAGAGAGGACCCUCGAGAACACAAGGCGACGAUGUUGCUGCAGUUCAGUUCUUGCUUCGCUGAUGAAUGAUGAUUGUGUUUGGUGUGUAAACAAUGCCGGGCGAAAGUCUUCCCUUCUAAUCUCAAGCUCAAGAGCUCCUGCUAUGAACAGUAAAAGUCUGAUUUUUUUACGACCAACACUGCUUAGUUUUCUAUGUGCAUGCAAAUUUCGUGAUGAAAUUACAUUCGUGGAGGUUUAGAAUUCUUUUCGCAAAAUCAGCAACUCAAAACGCUUUCAAAAAUAUUCUUUCUGGAGCAUUGAUUUUUCUUUUGACAGAGUAUUAGCAAUGUUAUUUUUUUCACAAAAUCAGCACUUUAGUAGUGAUCUAAACACUCUUAUAUUUCUUUACAGAGGGAGUAGAAUAUUCACCGAUGUUUGCUGGCAAAGAAAUCAUGUUUUUUAUUUUUUGUGUUACUGUUUGUUUCAAUUUAAUUGUUCACGAGGGUACAUGCAGAACUUAUAUUUCUACGAUGCUGCAAAGUGGUUUCAGUUCCCUUAAAAGUUGAAAAUUUUAGUCAGGAGGUCAUUGAUGUUUAUAUGCAAACAAUCCAUGUGCCUUCAUGAGAUGCUUGGUUCAUUUGGAGAUCCAGAUGAAAUUUUCGCGAGAGCAAUGACAGUGACGAUAAUCGAACCAGUUUGGGUUGCAGUAUUACUACUGAUUUUGCGAAAAGCAUUAUAAUACUCCUGUACAAAUACUACAAUUUGCAGUCAUUGAAGAAAUCAAUGAAAUUUUGUAGAAAAAAAAGGAGAAAAUAAGGAAAAGAAUGUUGAAUCAGAGCUGCCGAGGAGCAGGAUGGAGCUCAGCGGAGCGGUCGAGCUCGGCGAGCAUGGCCACCCGGUCCAUCUCGUACCCACACACGUCCAUGUCCCCGUCGCCGUCCCCCGACCAGUCCACCCUGCCCACCCGCAUCGUCUCCACGUCCACCGCGUACACCUGCGUCCUGCCGCCCCUGUUCCUCGCCGUGAAGAGCGCCACGCCGCUCUUCUCGCAGAACCACCUCAACCUCACCGCCUGCAGGCCCAUGAGCUCCGUGUUCAGCGUCCACCGCCACUCCUUCCUCCCCGACACGCCGCCGUUCCUCACCGCGUCGGCGUAGACGACCACGUAGGCGCGCACCGCGUCGGCCUUGCACUCCAGCACGCACAGCCUCCCGUCCGGCAUCAGCCCCAGCAGCCGGUCCACCUCGCUGCCGAGGGAGGCCUUGGCGCGGCGCGGCGGCGACUCGAAGGCCUGCACGGUGUAGCCAAAGCUGGACGUGUGCAGCGUGGCCGGGUUGACGGCGAUGCCGAGCCCGUACCAGCAGACGGCGCCGCCCCGCACCAGCGUCGCGUGCGCCCUGACGCCCAGCUGCCGCCCCCUCGCGAUCCGGGCGCCGGUCACCUCCACCUCCGGGCCCCAGCUGCCGUCCUCCGAGGAGUAGCGCCGGAGCGCCGUGUAGCUGCGGUGGUUGUAGAGGAGCAGCACGCGGUACGAGGACGAGGACGUGGACGUGGCCGCGCAUGCGUCGUACAGGUGGAGCCCGUCGUCGGCGGUGAGCAGGGCGCACGCGUACGGCCCCGGGCGGUCCUUGCCGGUCAGGGGCGGGAGCAGGUCGGCGUCGCCGGUCAUGGGGUCGCACACGCAGAGCCGCAGCACGCAGGCGCUCUUGGCGCGGCGGAGGUCCAUCACGACGCGGCCGUUGCGGGACGCGACGACGCGCGACGACGAGCCCGGCACGCCGCCGUCGGUGAUCGAGAGGUCGGGCUUCGUGAAGGGCACGAAGCCGUCGCCGUGCAGGAAGACGCCGACCGCGAGGCGGCGGGCGAAGCGGUCGCAGCGCGGGGGGCCGCGGCGGCAGAUGAAGGCGGCGUCGGAGGAGACGAGGCGGCGCCAGCGCCUGCAAGCGGCAGCGCAGCGGACGAGGUCCCCGGCGUCGGAGAGGGCGGAGAAGACGAGGAGCAGGGUCUCGUCGCACAGGGGCAGCGCCUGGUCGCCGUGCUCGGGCCCGUGCCGCUUGAACGGCCUGCGGCGGGCGGCGAGCCACCCUCUGCUCCCGCCUGCGGAGGGAUCCGUCCCUGCGGCGGUGGCCGGGCGUCGGCGGCGGCCGCAGCGGCGACGUGGCGGCCGUGACGGCGGCAUGAUGAUCGGCCGGUUGGGAUUUGGGGGAGAUCGAGCAAGGGUUUAGGGGGGCGUGUUUACAGAGGUAAUCGCCCAGAUCCGUAAAGGAAGAUCGCCAGAUUUUCCGUCUCAUGGGCCAGUUGGAUCUCCGUUUCACGUCAGAGAAAAAAAAGGACAAAGAAUCGAUGGGCCUGCCUGCCAAUGAUGAAGGCCCAUUGUGGCGUCCCAGCGGCCAGUGGCUGCUUGGUCCUCACUGGCCUAAAAAACACAAAAAAUGCCUCACUGCACUCAUCUCCAUCGCAAGUUCUCAACAACCUCCUCCUUCGCUCACAUUGCCAAAAUGCGUUUGAAAAUAAUAUUUUUGGAGCAUCGGUUUUGUUUUUUUGCCACAUUUUACACAAAUUUCAUCUGGCGAUGAAAUUUUGCAAGCUAUCAAAACAUUUGUCAAAGUUUCAUACAAAAAAAAUCAGAAUUUUCUAAAUUGUUAUCUUUUUAAUUUUAUUGUUCACCCAAGCUCACGUAAGCACGGGAUCAUAACAGCUGCAUAUGGAGAAAGAGGAAUACCAUCCCCUGAUUAUAGCAUGGUUAAUAGUAUAAUCAACUGCUAGUUAUAUGAUGUUGUAUCAUCACUUAUAGUCACUCAUACAACAAGUUUGGCUACAAGAGUAGUACUUCUUUUCACCUUCUUUCUAUCUCUUUCUUCAUAUGUAUUGUAUUUGCGUAGAAGUACGCAUAUAGUUAACUCUUGCAUGAGAACCAUUUCCGUCAUCUUCUAAUGUCUCUGUCCUUCAUAUAGGCAAAAAUGACCUAUAAGCGGGCUAUAAGCCCGACCUGUAAUUGCUUUGAUUAGAGUACAACUCUAACUCGUCAACUUAGGCACACCCCUUUUUCCCUAAAAAAAAGAAUAAGGAAAUUACCCUUCUCGAUCAUGUGCGAUGUUUUAUCCCUUCUUCCCCCAUGAUAAUUCUUACUAGCAUCCACGAAGUAAAUGGAUUUUAUCAAAAAAUUGAAGUAAAUGGAUUUUUAAAGAAGAGUAAUUAAGAUGUAGCAAAAAUUAUGCCUCGACUCGUCCAGAACAUGUUUCGAGAGUGUGUGCUAACCAAUCAACAGGACUUGGAAGCCGAUGUCCCCAUCGCAAAAAUUAUUUGAGAGCAUAAAGAAAGAAAUGUGCGCUGUUGGAUGAAUGAGCAACUAGUAUUCACUGAGGGCCAGAGGCCAGUACAUAUACAUGUGUGGCAAAGUGCAGAGAACCCCCUAUACAUUAGGGAUAUACAGACAAGAGACUAUACACAUCUAACACCCCCCCCCCCUCAAACUCAUAGUGGAUCAACAACACUGAGUUUGGAGAAAAGAAAGCUAUGUUGCGCUCGAGUUUGUGCCUUCGUGAAGAAGUCCGUCAAUUGUAACCCAGAGGGCACAUGAAGAGCAAGAAUCUAAUCUUGCACAGCAGCACGCACAAAGUGGGCAUCCACGCCGAUGUGCUUGGUGAGCUCAUGCUUCACCGGGCCACGCGCAAUACUGAUAACACCGGUACCGUCAGACAGUAAUGGAGUGGAAGUAGAAGCAGCCACACCAAAAUCCUCAAGUAACCAUCGUAACCAGAUCACCUCAGCCAUCAACAUAGCCAUUGCUCGCAACUCAGCCUCGGUGCUCGAGCGAGAAACUGCAGUCUGUUUCUUGAUCUUCCAGGCAAUAAGAGAGCCUCCAAGAAAGACACAGUAAGCAGACAGCGAGUGUCGAUCUGAGGGAUCACUAGCCCGAGUAGCAUCGGAGUAGGCCUGGAGCUCGAGAGAACUGGAGCGAGGGGAAAAGGCGAUGAGAGAUCGUGCCACGAAGAUAUCGUAGAACACGGAGGAGAUGACUAUAGUGGAUAGAGGUGGGGGCUGCAAGAAACUGACUCAGGAUGUGAACAGGAUGGGAUAUGUCAGGACGUGUAACAGCAAGAUAGACAAGGCUGCUAAUGAGGUGACGAUAGCGAGUGGGAUUAGGAAGAGGAUCACCAUCAGAGGCACGUAGCUGAAUGUUGAGGAGUCACAACAGUGCGCUCAUCACCGAGAGCGGCGCGGGCAAGAAGAUCCUGAAUAUAUUUUUCCUGAGAGAUGUAGAAGCCAUCAGAGGUCGAGGAGAUCUCAAUCCCAAGAAAAUAGCGAAGUAGACCAAGAUCGGACAUGAGAAACUGGUUGUGAAGGCGAGCCUUGACAAAGGCAAUAUAGUCAGAGUCGUCACCAGUGAUGAUCAUGUCAUCAACAUAGAGAAGGAGAAGAGUCUGACCACGAGAAGACGUGUGAACAAACAAUGUGGGAUCAUGGUCACUGGGCAAAAAGCCAGCGGCAGUCACCAUAGAGGCGAAGCUCUCAAACCAGGCGCGAGGGGCCUGUUUAAGACCAUAGAGGAAGCGGCGAAGGCGACAGACCAUGCCAUCAGGAGCAUAGUACCCCGGUGGUGGCUACAUAUACACCUCCCCACGUAACUCGCCAUUGAGAAAGGCGUUCUGGACAUCAAGUUGAGAGAUGGACCAAUUGCGAACAGAAGCCACAACAAGGAGAGUGCGGACAGUGGUCAUGUGAGCCACAGGAGCGAAUGUCUCAUCAUAAUCGCGUCCUUGCUCCUGCUGGAAACCACGGGCCACAAGACGAGCUUUGUAGCGCUCAAGAGAACCAUCGGAGCGAGUCUUAACUUUGUAGACCCACUUGCAAGUGAUGGGACGAACACCAGAAGGAGGAGAAACCAGAUCCCACGUGCCAUUGUGCUCAAGCGCCGCAAGCUCCUCGACCAUCACAAGCUACCAUUCAGGGUGAGUCAUGCCGGCCCGAUAGGUGGUGGGCUCAGCAAUGGCAGAAAGACCAUACCGGUCAGGAGAAUAGCGAUCAGGAGGAGGACAAGGCCUAACACGAAGGUUAUGGACCGACGUAGGCGUGAGAGGUGGUGCACCAAAAGUAGAGGCACAUCAGUAGGAUCAGCGCUAGCACGAGGACGACGAGUGUAGUAGUGAGGAAAAGGGGAGUGUGGGUGAAAGACUGGAGAGGAAGGUGGGGAGGGAGAUGAGGAGGAGGGAGGGGAUGGUGGUACCGGUGGUGUAGGGAGACUCCUCUGGGAGAGGGUAGAACAGAGGGCACAGAGGGAGAUGUGUCGGGAAGGAGAAGGAAGGAAAUAUCUUCCACGGAAAAGCUCGAGGAGGAGGGACGCGGAUAGUAAAAACGAGACUCAUCAAAAGUCACAUCACGCGAAAUGCGCAGUCGGCGACCAACAGGAUCCCAACAGCGAUAGCCCUUGUGCUCAUCACUAUAGCCAAGGAAAACACACUCAACUGGCUGAGCAGUCAACUUGGUUCGUUCUCGUGGAGCAAGAAGAACAUAGCACACGCACCCAAACAUACGAAGAGCGGAGUAGUCAGGAGAGCGAUCAGAGAGAUGCUCCAUAGGAAUACCACCCUUCAAGGCAACCGAUGGCUGAAUGUUGAUGAGGUGUGUGGAUGCGGAUACUGCCUCAGCCCAAAAAUGAGGUGGAAGAGAGGCGGCGAUCAUCAUUGCCCGAGCCGUCUCAAGCAAAUGGCGAUGUUUGCGUUCAGCAACGCCAUUCUGAGCAUGGGCACCAGGGCAAGAGAAUUGGGCAAGAGUGCCCUGCUCUGCAAGAAAACCACGCAACAUGUGAGAGAUAUACUCUCCAGAUGAGCCAGCACGGAAGAUACGGACAGACGUGGAAAAUUGAGUGCGAACAAUGGCAGCAAAACGCUUGUAUAUGGGGAGAACCUCGCUGCGAGAUUUCAUACAGUAAAGCCAAGUGUAGCGAGAGAAAUCAUCAAUAAAUAGAACAUAGUAGCGAUGACCCCCUUUCGAGUCAAAAGGAGCAGGACCCCAUACAACAGAAUGAACUAAGUCAAAAGGACGCUGAGAUACAGACUCACUGGUAGGAUAAGGUAACUGGGUCUGUUUGUCAAGCCUACAACCAUCACAAUGCAACGAAACAUCACCAGAGACAGACCCUAAGAUGCCUUGGUGUACUAAUGAGGAUAAGCGAGAGCCACAGAUGUGACCAAGUCGAUGAUGCCACUGCUGGAAGGACACAAAAGAGGAGGCAGCAAGAGCAUGGGAGCUGGCGUAUGUGGUAGCAGCGGAAGGAACACGAAGCCAGUCAACCUCCCAAAGGCCCUCAGACUCACGGCGCCGAGGGCCAGCGCCAACCAGAGCCUGAGUGCGACGAUCCUGAACAGAACAAGAGUCAGCAUCAAGAAUGACACGACAACCAGAAUCAGUAAGUUGGGCAGCGGAAAAGAGAUUCAUGGUAAGACGAGGAACAUGAGAAACACUAGGAACCGAGAAAGAUGGAGUGGAAAGGAUGCCAUGACUAGCAGCAGGAAGAGGUGUGCCAUCGGCCGUGAAAACAUUAAGAGGAAAACCAGGAGGACGAAGAGAAGAUAAAACAGAAGAAUCAGAAGACAUAUGAAAAGAAGCUCCAGAAUCCAGAACUCACGAGGAUGUACCUGUCUGAGUAGGCUCCAGCGGGGGCAGAGUGGUGGUGGCUGUCACGACGGCAACAGAACCCGUCAAGGAAGAACCGGAUGAUGCCAACAUGCGCUUGAGCCGCAGAAUAUCCUGGUCAGUAAGCGACGCAGUCGAGGAAGACGCACGAGUCCCACUAGAUGAAGAGCGCUUCAGGUCUCUCCGCUUCUUGUGACAAUCUGAUUCUGGGUGACCUGGCCUGUUGCAGUAGCCACAGAAGGUGUGCGAGCACGACCGACCCUCUCCUGAAGGAGGGUGAAACGCCCCCCUGGAGGUGUGGGCAGGAGCGGUGGAGUAGUGAGGUGAGCAGACAACACAAGAGCUUGGGCAGCAAGAACAGUGGGAACCACAAGCAGAUCAGCGGACCGAAGAUGUGUCUCCUCAGCACGAAGCUCGGCAAGCACCUCCGAAAUAGGAACACGACCACGAGCAAGCAGGUGAGCACGCCGAGGCUCAAACUUUGAGCGAAGGCGAGGUAGGAACUCGUGGAGACGAUGAAACUCCAAGUCUGACCGCACAGUCUGACAACAGCGGCAAGUACCACAAACCACAGUCUGGAGAGAGUCAAGCUGACGCCAGAUGGCAGAGCUCUGGGAGUAGAACUCAUCAAUAGAAGAGUCACCCUGCUGCAGAGCAUGCUCCUGACGCACCACAGAUAGGUAGAGAGCAUCACCAGAUGGCUGAUAUCGGUGACAAAGAUAGGUCCGCAUCGCAGCAACAGUACCAAGACCCAUGAACUCAGACGCAGACUGGGGUAAGACACUCGCAGUGAGAACCGGAGCCGCUCGAGCAUCAUCGUUGCACCACUGAGUGUAAGCAGACAGAUCAUCCCGGUAAACAGAAAGAGCAUCUGAGUAAGCGGAUACCUGCUGAUCAUAAGCAUCCAUCGCAACAUCAUCAAGGGCCUUGGCUGCAUCCCGAUCAGCCUGAGAAGCGUCGGCAGCAAGAACAGGCGGGACCGGUGGGAUAGGAGCCACAGGAGCAACAUGACAUGGCGGACAGGGGACCUCGCCAGAGAAAACGCCCCACAGGAGAAGACCGCGCAUGUGGAUGCACAUGAAACCCACAAACUCAGCAUAGUUGGUGUCAUCGAAGAUCACCGUGCACCGAGGGACAACCACAUAUCCCGAGGAAGACAUGGUGAGCCUUUUUUUGGUCAACUGCUACAGUGCGCCCGAUCUAGAUCAGGCAGACCCGCUCACGAGGGGAACGAAGCGGGGCUCGAGCAAAUCGAGCGGACAAGGUGGCCAAGCGACAGCUGAAGGCCACGACCAGGAGGAGAUCGCAGCUUGGGCUGCAGAUCCAGAUUGAGGGCCCAUCCAGGCGGGAAGCAGCACCAGGCAAGAGCGGCCGGGACACCGGGCGAGAGCUGCCGGGCUGGGGCGACGUCCAGGCAGAGGCGGGCGGUGGCCAGGUGCAGCAGCAGGGCGGCCAACCGGCAAAGCAGGAAGCAGGGGCGCCCGAUCGGGCGGAGUAGGACAAGGCCGCCUCGAGCGCCGACGGCUAGGGCGCAGCAGGAGCGGGCGCCGGAUCCAGCCGAUCCAGCCGGACGGAAGGAGUCGGGCUUGGCCAAGAGAGAGACGGCCGGUGACGUACGGGAAACAGCCGGAAUCGAGGUGAGCUAGGAGUGGCGCGCACGGAGUUGCAUCGUGCGGGAGAGCGAUGCUAACCUAACAUCUGAUACCAUGUUGGAUGAAUGAGCAACUAGUAUUCACUGAGGGUCAGAGGCCAGUACAUAUACAUGUGUGGCAAAGUGCAGAGAACCCCUUAUACAUUGAGGAUAUACAGACAAGAGACUAUACACAUCUAACAUGCGCUAACACAGGAAGAAGGAUAUAUCUGGUGCAGAAAGUAUCAGGGGCCACAAGAGCUUGAUGAAGAUUGUUGAUGGCGCGACAAAGACAAGUUAUGCAUAAACCUUGUAUAUUCUUUCUUUUUUGCGGGGUCAUAAAUCUUGGAUGUUCAAUCCAAUAAUUAAUUAGGGUACACUUAAGAGAUUUUAUAGAGUAGGGUGGGGGGGGGGGGGCAGUGGCCCCCUUUGGCCCAUGAAGCUCCGCCACUGCACCAAACCAUAUAUGCUCCCAAUUUGAAGAAAUUCAAAUUUGAACAUUCUGAAAAAAUCUAUAAAAAGUAUGGACGUUGGCAACACAUACGUAUACAAUCCCUAAAAAACUCAGAUCCAAAAUCUAAAUAUACGUUGAGGAAUAUAAAAGACAAAUCCAUCAUGGUUAGUGUAAAGCUAAGACACAAGCAAAAUGACAUAUUCAUACAUGAAUUUCUCCUUUUUGUUUCUUCAUGUGCGAAUUUUUGGGGGCUGUGCACGCUUGUCCUGUGAGCACACAUUCCCCUCCAAUGAAUUUUUAGAAACAAUUGUGUCGCGGCAUAUUUAGAGAUAUCUAGCUAUUGAAGACAAGGCUAAGUAAGAAUAACGAAUUGCACGUCAUUUUUUUUAUUGUCCUUUCUAAAUUACGUUACAGCCACAAGAUAGUCCUAUCAACAAUGACCCCGCGCAAAGAUGUUAAGUAAGACAUGCUCUAAGGACUGAUAUAAUUGGAUAUUUUUUUUCCAUGUCCGGUGAAACCAUGCAACGUACAACUAUGCAAAGGACAGGUUUUGGGUCUUCCCUGGCGGCGCCUCAACUGCUCCAAUGGGCAUAUAUAUGCCUAUAUAUGGUGCUUUGUUAAGUCCGUCGUCCGGUAGCACGACAUCGCUGACGCACCAAUUGAGGAAUCGAUGCAAAAAAAAAACAUUGAGGAACGGAAUAGGAAUAUGCGACGCGGUACUGUUUUGCCGGCCCUGAUCUUCCCUGUCGGUGCUGACUUUUGUCAUCUGUUCUUUGUAAAAAAUGUAACGCGGAUUAUCAGCCAAUUUCGCUACAGUUGUAGUAAGAUCUUAAAAGGCGUUUAACAUGAGCAGCAUUUCUCUGCCAUGUACUCUCUCCGUUCCCAAAAAUAUAAGUCUUUUUAAAGAUUUCAAUAAAUGACCACAUACUGUACAAAAUUAGUGAAUCUACAUUUUAAAAUAUGUCUAUAUACAUCCGUAUAUUGUAGUCCAUUUGAAUUGUCUAAAAAGACUUAUAUUUAGAAAGGGAGGCAGUACGUACUGUAGUAGCAAUGGCACUCAAAAAAUAGAUCAUAACAAACAAAACCUAGUAGCAAUGGCACUCCAAAAAUAGAUCAUAACAAACAAAACCGUCAAGCAUUUGAGCUUCACAUACAUAUAAGAGACUGAAAGCUUCAACCGCCAAACGAUACUGCUCAGGUACAGAGCAGCUAAUAGACAGUGGCCGGGGAAGAACACAAGGGGCUGGUGGAAAUCAUCAUAACAACAUGCAACAAGGAGCAAAGGAAAAUCAGCUCAAGAGAUUAUACAACCAUGGCUGGAACUCACAAACAUUACAACACGCACAAUUGCUAGCACAACAAUCAAAUACGUAUAUAUGUAAAUGAAAGCAAGAUCUUGCACAAAAGCAAACACAGCACAGUAAAAAUAACCACCGUGGGAUGCCAGAAAUAUAUCAUCUAAGUUUAACAUCUGUUACAUCACCACAACCAUCAUCAAAACCACAGUCUCAGUAGCACCACAUACAAACAACAAGAUAGUAAGGAAGACACAUAGGGAGAAAAAUACCGCGCCUCCCUUCACAGCAACAGCCAGCAGCAAAAC
RNAcentral lists this long non-coding RNA (12328 nucleotides) under Triticum aestivum (bread wheat). RNAcentral's name for it is "long non-coding RNA (TAES_LNC002187)". Lineage: Eukaryota; Viridiplantae; Streptophyta; Magnoliopsida; Poales; Poaceae. The record is from RNAcentral.